UUGGGAAUCUUGCACAAUGGGGGAAACCCUGAUGCAGCGACGCCGCGUGGAGGAUGAAGGAUCUAGGUCUGUAAACUCCUUUUUCAGGGAAAGACUUAGGACGGUACCCUGAGAAUAAGGACCGGCUAACUACGUGCCAGCAGCCGCGGUAAGACGUAGGGUCCAAGCGUUGUCCGGAUUUACUGGGCGUAAAGAGCGCGUAGGCGGCUCGGUAAGUGUGAAGUGAAAUCUCUAGGGCUCAACCCAGAAACUGCUUUACAUACUGUCGAGCUGGAGUGAUGAAGAGGUUUGUGGAAUUCCUGGUGUAGCGGUGAAAUGCGUUGAUAUCAGGAGGAACACCCAUGGCGAAGGCAGCAAACUGGUCAUCAACUGACGCUGAGGCGCGAAAGCGUGGGUAGCAAACAGGAUUAGAUACCCCCGUAGUCC
RNAcentral lists this ribosomal RNA (426 nucleotides) under uncultured bacterium. RNAcentral's name for it is "bacterial SSU rRNA". It matches the Rfam family "Bacterial small subunit ribosomal RNA", at positions 355 to 796 of the family's 1533-position model. The record is from RNAcentral.